CCUACGGGUGGCAGCAGUGAGGAAUAUUGGUCAAUGGACGAGAGUCUGAACCAGCCAAGUAGCGUGAAGGAUGACUGCCCUAUGGGUUGUAAACUUCUUUUAUAUGGGAAUAAAACGUUCCACGUGUGGGAUUUUGUAUGUACCGUAUGAAUAAGGAUCGGCUAACUCCGUGCCAGCAGCCGCGGUAAUACGGAGGAUCCGAGCGUUAUCCGGAUUUAUUGGGUUUAAAGGGAGCGUAGGUGGAUUGUUAAGUCAGUUGUGAAAGUUUGCGGCUCAACCGUAAAAUUGCAGUUGAAACUGGCAGUCUUGAGUACAGUAGAGGUGGGCGGAAUUCGUGGUGUAGCGGUGAAAUGCUUAGAUAUCACGAAGAACUCCGAUUGCGAAGGCAGUUCACUGGACUGCAACUGACACUGAGGCUCGAAAGUGUGGGUAUCAAACAGGAUUAGAUACCCCUGUAGUC
This 460-nucleotide ribosomal RNA is filed under the name uncultured bacterium. RNAcentral describes it as "partial 16S ribosomal RNA". It matches the Rfam family "Bacterial small subunit ribosomal RNA", at positions 338 to 795 of the family's 1533-position model. The record is from RNAcentral.